UAUUCUGCCCUACAGGGAAGGAUGAGAAGCUUCGACUAAGGUUCGACUCGAGCGAAGCGAGAGAACGUUGCNNAACGGCCCGAAGGGCGAGGCGCUUUAGCGCCGAGUAAUCCUUCCCCCACCACCA
This 127-nucleotide small RNA is filed under the name Klebsiella pneumoniae. RNAcentral's name for it is "RtT sRNA". It matches the Rfam family "RtT RNA". Rfam says of the family: This family represents a bacterial cis-regulatory element known as RtT RNA. Lineage: Bacteria; Pseudomonadati; Pseudomonadota; Gammaproteobacteria; Enterobacterales; Enterobacteriaceae. The record is from RNAcentral.